UAGCCUAGAGAUAGGUGAAGCCCUUCGGGGCGCACAGACAGGUGGUGCAUGGUUGUCGUCAGCUCGUGUCGUGAGAUGUUGGGUUAAGUCCCGCAACGAGCGCAACCCUUAUUAUUAGUUGCUACGCAAGAGCACUCUAAUGAGACUGCCGUUGACAAAACGGAGGAAGGUGGGGAUGACGUCAAAUCAUCAUGCCCCUUAUGACCUGGGCUACACACGUACUACAAUGGCGUAAACAAAGGGAAGCGAAGUGGUGACACGAAGCAAAUCCGAAAAACAACGUCUCAGUUCGGAUUGUAGUCUGCAACUCGACUACAUGAAGCUGGAAUCGCUAGUAAUCGCGAAUCAGGAUGUCGCGGUGAAUACGUUCCCGGGUCUUGUACACACCGCCCGUCACACCAUGGGAGUCGGAAAUGCCCGAAGUCAGUGACCCAACCGAGAGGAGGGAGCUGCCGAAGGUGGAGCCGGUAACUGGGGUGAAGUCGUAACAAGGUAGCCGUAUCGGAAGGUGCGGC
Molecule: ribosomal RNA, 515 nt
Filed under: uncultured bacterium
Lineage: Bacteria
Description: bacterial SSU rRNA
Rfam family: Bacterial small subunit ribosomal RNA
Source: RNAcentral